ACUCCUACGGGAGGCAGCAGUGGGGAAUAUUGCACAAUGGGGGAAACCCUGAUGCAGCCAUGCCGCGUGUGUGAAGAAGGCCUUCGGGUUGUAAAGCACUUUCAGUAGGGAGGAAGGUAGUGUAGUUAAACACCUGCAAUUAUUUGACGUUACCUUACAGAAGAAGCACCGGCUAACUCCGUGCCAGCAGCCGCCGGUAAUACGGAGGGUGCGGCGGUUAAUCGGAAUUACUGGGCGUAAAGCGCAUGCAGGCGGCCUGUUAAGUCAGAUGUGAAAGCCCGGGGCUUAACCUCGGAAUUGCAUUUGAAACUGGCAGGCUAGAGUCUUGUAGAGGGGGUAGAAUUUCAGGUGUAGCGGUGAAAUGCGUAGGAGAUCUGAAGGAAUACCAGU
Molecule: ribosomal RNA, 390 nt
Filed under: uncultured bacterium
Lineage: Bacteria
Description: bacterial SSU rRNA
Rfam family: Bacterial small subunit ribosomal RNA
Source: RNAcentral